AUGAUAAUUAGUUUAACCCAAAACAAAUGAUUUCGACUCAUUAAACUACGAUUUAAACUCGUAAUUAUCAC
This 71-nucleotide transfer RNA is filed under the name Mylodon darwinii. RNAcentral's name for it is "tRNA-Arg". It matches the Rfam family "tRNA". From Rfam's summary of the family: Transfer RNA (tRNA) molecules are approximately 80 nucleotides in length. Their secondary structure includes four short double-helical elements and three loops (D, anti-codon, and T loops). Lineage: Eukaryota; Metazoa; Chordata; Mammalia; Pilosa; Mylodontidae. The record is from RNAcentral.